UACGAAGGGGGCUAGCGUUGCUCGGAAUCACUGGGCGUAAAGCGCACGUAGGCGGACUCUUAAGUCAGGGGUGAAAUCCUGGAGCUCAACUCCAGAACUGCCUUUGAUACUGGGAGUCUUGAGUUCGGGAGAGGUGGGUGGAACUGCGAGUGUAGAGGUGAAAUUCGUAGAUAUUCGCAAGAACACCAGUGGCGAAGGCGGCUCACUGGCCCGAUACUGACGCUGAGGCGCGAAAGCGUGGGGAGCAAACAGG
This 253-nucleotide ribosomal RNA is filed under the name uncultured bacterium. RNAcentral describes it as "partial 16S ribosomal RNA". It matches the Rfam family "Bacterial small subunit ribosomal RNA", at positions 524 to 776 of the family's 1533-position model. The record is from RNAcentral.